AUCUAUCUUUAUACCGACGAUUUAUAUGGGGAUUGCCAAAAGAUUAUAUCUUGUGAUGGGUUAGAAUGUAAGGAAGGUUCGCAAAAUAGCACUGAAUGGAUUCGUCUAUGGUAAAAAGCCAUGCGCUACAUGCUGAGAGGGACUGGCACAAACUCUGGAAUUCUUUGUAUGCUAUAUUUCCAUUCAUACUUUUCAGGCUACAUGCUGAGAGGGACUGGCACAAACUCUGGAAUUCUUUGUAUGCUAUAUUUCCAUUCAUACUUUUCAG
This 268-nucleotide unclassified non-coding RNA is filed under the name Hevea brasiliensis (rubber tree). The record is from RNAcentral. Lineage: Eukaryota; Viridiplantae; Streptophyta; Magnoliopsida; Malpighiales; Euphorbiaceae.